UCAGUGAUUUCAUCGCCGAGAUUCAGAGAUUCAGAUCGGUCUCCACCAUCUGCACCAUCGUCUACAUCAUCAUCUACACCAUCGUCUCCUAAGUUAGCCCCAAUCCAAGAUUGAUCCAUAUGAGGUUAGGGCCCGUGCUAAACAGGUUGUGCAAGAUCAGCGCCGUCUGAAGGUCACUAUGUUGUAAUAUGUGGCUAUGAUGCUAUGACAGAUGAGUUUGAGAUUAGAGAUCCAGCGAGCUCUGGGAAACAUGAGAAGGUCACAUCAAAGCGCCUAGAAGAAGCUC
Molecule: non-coding RNA, 286 nt
Organism: Camellia sinensis
Lineage: Eukaryota; Viridiplantae; Streptophyta; Magnoliopsida; Ericales; Theaceae
Source: RefSeq, a predicted model, not a curated record